This 1504-nucleotide ribosomal RNA is filed under the name uncultured bacterium. RNAcentral describes it as "bacterial SSU rRNA". It matches the Rfam family "Bacterial small subunit ribosomal RNA". The record is from RNAcentral.
GAUUAGAGUUUGAUCAUGGCUCAGAUUGAACGCUGGCGGUAUGCUUAACACAUGCAAGUCGAACGGAAACGAUACUAGCUUGCUAGUAGGCGUCGAGUGGCGGACGGGUGAGUAACGCGUAGGAAUCUGCCUGAUAGUGGGGGAUAGCCCGGAGAAAUUCGGAUUAAUACCGCAUAAUCUAUUCGUAGUAAAGUGGGGGACUUUCGAGCCUCACGCUAUCAGAUGAGCCUGCGUAAGAUUAGCUUGUUGGUAGGGUAAAAGCCUACCAAGGCGACGAUCUUUAGCUGGUCUGAGAGGAUGAUCAGCCACAUCGGGACUGAGACACGGCCCGAACUCCUACGGGAGGCAGCAGUGGGGAAUAUUGGACAAUGGGGGCAACCCUGAUCCAGCAAUACCGCGUGUGUGAAGAAGGCCUGAGGGUUGUAAAGCACUUUCAAUUGUGAAGAAAAGUUAACGGUUAAUAACCGUUAGCCUUGACGUUAACUUUAGAAGAAGCACCGGCUAACUCCGUGCCAGCAGCCGCGGUAAUACGGAGGGUGCAAGCGUUAAUCGGAAUUACUGGGCGUAAAGCGUGCGUAGGUGGUUUAUUAAGUCAGAUGUGAAAGCCCCGGGCUUAACCUGGGAACUGCAUUUGAAACUGGUAAACUAGAGUAUGGUAGAGGAAAGUGGAAUUUCUGGUGUAGCGGUGAAAUGCGUAGAUAUCAGAAGGAACAUCAAUGGCGAAGGCAGCUUUCUGGACCAAUACUGACACUGAGGUACGAAAGCGUGGGUAGCAAACAGGAUUAGAUACCCUGGUAGUCCACGCCGUAAACGAUGAUAACUAGCCGUUGGGGGGAUUUACCCUUUAGUGGCGAAGCUAACGCGUUAAGUUAUCCGCCUGGGGAGUACGGCCGCAAGGUUAAAACUCAAAGGAAUUGACGGGGACCCGCACAAGCGGUGGAGCAUGUGGUUUAAUUCGAUGCAACGCGAAGAACCUUACCUGGUCUUGACAUCCUGCGAACUUUCUAGAAAUAGAUUGGUGCCUUCGGGAACGCAGUGACAGGUGCUGCAUGGCUGUCGUCAGCUCGUGUCGUGAGAUGUUGGGUUAAGUCCCGUAACGAGCGCAACCCCUAUCCUUAUUUGCCAGCACAUUAUGGUGGGAACUAUAAGGAGACUGCCGGUGAUAAACCGGAGGAAGGCGGGGACGACGUCAAGUCAUCAUGGCCCUUACGACCAGGGCUACACACGUGCUACAAUGGGAAGGACAAAGAGCCGCGAAGCCGCGAGGUGUAGCUAAUCUCAUAAACCUUUUCGUAGUCCGGAUUGGAGUCUGCAACUCGACUCCAUGAAGUCGGAAUCGCUAGUAAUCGUAGAUCAGAAUGCUACGGUGAAUACGUUCCCGGGUCUUGUACACACCGCCCGUCAUACCAUGGGAGUGGGUUGCACCAGAAGUGGCUAGUCUAACUUAGUGAGGACGGUCACCACGGUGUGAUUCAUGACUGGGGUAAAGUCGUAACAAGGUACC